This 1187-nucleotide ribosomal RNA is filed under the name Francisella sp. DVFSQ83_04. Its description in RNAcentral is "bacterial SSU rRNA". It matches the Rfam family "Bacterial small subunit ribosomal RNA", at positions 57 to 1237 of the family's 1533-position model. Lineage: Bacteria; Pseudomonadati; Pseudomonadota; Gammaproteobacteria; Thiotrichales; Francisellaceae. The record is from RNAcentral.
GGAAGUCGAACGGUACAGGACUAGCUUGCUAGUUGCUGACGAGUGGCGGACGGGAGAGUAACGCGUAGGAAUCUGUCCACCUGAGGGGGAUACCAGUUGGAAACGACUUUUAAUACCGCAUAGUACCUGUGGAUUAAAGGUGGCUUUUGGGAUGUCGCAGAUGGAUGAGCCUGCAUUUGACUAGCUAGUUGGUGGGCUAAGGGGGUACCAAGGCUACGAUCCAUAGCUGCUUUGAGAGGAUGAUCAGCCACAUUCUGACUGAGACACGGCCCAAGCUCAUACGGGAGGCAGCAGUGAGGAAUAUUAGACAAUGGGGGCCACCCUGAUCCAGCAAUGCCAUGUGUGUGAAGAAGGCCUUAGGGUUGUAAAGCACUUUAGUUGGGGAAGAAAGCUUUGAGGUUAAUAGCCUUGAGGAAAAUGACGUUACCCAAAGAAUAAGCACCGGCUAACUCCGUGCCAGCAGCCGCGGUAAUACGGGGGGUGCAAGCGUUAAUCGGAAUUACUGGGCGUAAAGGGUCUAUAGGUGGUUUGUUAAGUCAGAUGUGAAAACCUAGGGCUCAUCCUUGGAACUGCAUUUGAUACUGGUAAACUAGAGUACGGUAGAGGAAUGGGGAAUUUCUGGUGUAGCGGUGAAAUGCGUAGAGAUCAGAAGGAACACCAAUGGCGAAGGCAACAUUCGGGACCGAUACUGACACUGAGGGACGAAAGCGUGGGGAUCAAACAGGAUUAGAUACCCUGGUAGUCCACACUGUAAACGAUGAGUACUAGUUGUUGGAGUCGGUGUAAAGGCUCUAGUGGCGCAGCUAACGCGAUAAGUACUCCGCCUGGGGACUACGGCCGCAAGGCUAAAACUCAAAGGAAUUGACAGGGACCCGCACAAGCUGGGGAGCAUCUGGUUUAAUUUGAUGCAACGUGAAGAACCUUACCUGGUCUUGACAUCCUGCGAUCUUUCUAGAGAUAGAUUGGUGCCUUCAGGAACGCAGUGACAGGUGCUGCACGGCUGUCGUCAGCUCGUGUUGUGAAAUGAUGGGUUAAGUCCCGCAACGAGCGCAACCCCUAUUGAUAGUUACCAUCAUUAAGUUGGGUACUCUAUUGAGACUGCCGCUGACAAGGCGGAGGAAGGUGGGUACGACGUCAAGUCAUCAUGGCCCUUACGACCAGGGCUACACACGUGCUACAAUGGGUAU